RNAcentral lists this transfer RNA (72 nucleotides) under Bos taurus (domestic cattle). It matches the Rfam family "tRNA". Rfam says of the family: Transfer RNA (tRNA) molecules are approximately 80 nucleotides in length. Their secondary structure includes four short double-helical elements and three loops (D, anti-codon, and T loops). Further hydrogen bonds mediate the characteristic L-shaped molecular structure. tRNAs have two regions of fundamental functional importance: the anti-codon, which is responsible for specific mRNA codon recognition, and the 3' end, to which the tRNAs corresponding amino acid is attached (by aminoacyl-tRNA synthetases). tRNAs cope with the degeneracy of the genetic code in two manners: having more than one tRNA (with a specific anti-codon) for a particular amino acid; and 'wobble' base-pairing, i.e. permitting non-standard base-pairing at the 3rd anti-codon position. The record is from Rfam by way of RNAcentral. Lineage: Eukaryota; Metazoa; Chordata; Mammalia; Artiodactyla; Bovidae. RNAcentral also lists the same sequence under 2 other names.
UCUCUGCUGGCUCAGUCAGUAAAGAAUCUGCCUGCUAUGCAGGAGACCCGGGUUCGAUCCCUGGGUCAGGAA